ACGGGUAGCGCUAGUGCUAUUCCUCUUGAUUGGGCGUAAAGGGUGUGUAGGUGGUAUAAUAAGUUAGAAGUUAAAAACUAUGCUGAUCAAUUGUAAAUUUCUAAAACUAUUAUGCUUGAGUAAUAAUAAAGAUGAUGGAACUUCACGCAUCAGAGUUAAAAUGCGUUUACACGAGAGGGAACCCCAAAGGCGAAGGCAAUCAUCUAAUUAUUUCUGACACUGAGACACGAAGGCAUGGGAAUCAAAUAGGA
Molecule: ribosomal RNA, 251 nt
Filed under: uncultured prokaryote
Description: partial 16S ribosomal RNA
Rfam family: Bacterial small subunit ribosomal RNA
Source: RNAcentral